Gallus gallus (chicken) is the source of this 858-nucleotide long non-coding RNA. RefSeq lists it as uncharacterized. Lineage: Eukaryota; Metazoa; Chordata; Aves; Galliformes; Phasianidae. The record is from RefSeq and is a predicted model, not a curated record. The transcript has 3 exons.
CUUUCUCCCAGAGCUCUCAUAAAAAGAUAAGUGAUCAGAGUAACACCAGGCUGGCUGUACUGAUGGCAACUGCCUUGGUCAUGCCAUGGGCAUGGCACAGCAGGCACAGGGUUGGCAGUUCCCUGUGUCUCAUAGGCACUGGUGAUCUAGCCAAUAUUGGGAGGUCACAUGAAGUGCUGAACCGCUUUGCCAGCACUGGCCAAAGUAGAGCAGGAUGGUGAGCAGAGUCAGAGCCAGAGGCCCAGAGGAGAACAUUCCCAUGAAUGCCUCCUGUCCUCUGCUGCUCACCGGGAGACAUGUUCCACGAUAAACAAGGACACAGAUACAAAGAUAAGUGAUCAGAAAAACACCAGACUGGUUGUACUUCUGGGCAUCAGCUGCUGGCACCUUCCUUGGUCAUGGCAUGGGCAUGGCACAGCAGGAACAAUGUUGGCAGUUCAUUGUGUCAAACAGGCACUGGUGCCAUGGCCAGCACUGGGAGGUCUCAUGAAGUGCUAACCACGGUGCCCGCACAGGCCAGAGUAGAGCAGGAUUAUGAGCAGAGUCAGAGCCAGAGGCCCAGAGGAGAACAUGCCCAGACCAUGAGUGCCUCCUGUCCUCUGCUGCUCACCUGGAGACAUGUUCCACGUUCUCCAAGAGCUCUUAUAAAAAGAUAAGUGAUCAGAGUAACUCCAGGCUGGCUGUACUUCAGGGUAUCACGCUGACAACAGCCUCGUUGACACCAUGGGCAGGGCACAGCAGGCACAGUGUUGGCAGUUCCCUGUGUCACACACGCAUUGGAGACAUGAAGGCUGUAGGGAUGUAAUAAAAAGAGCUUCUCGCUGCUGCGAGCCCAGGCCAGAAAAAACAGGAUGGUGA